RNAcentral lists this long non-coding RNA (552 nucleotides) under Phasianus colchicus (ring-necked pheasant). RNAcentral describes it as "lncRNA (ENSPCLG00000001809.1)". The record is from RNAcentral. Lineage: Eukaryota; Metazoa; Chordata; Aves; Galliformes; Phasianidae.
UAAUAAGUACAUACUAAAAGGAGGGUCCAUGUGCAAUGUAGCCCCACAUUAAUUGACUGCACUUUUGAUAUGCUCUGAGCAGGAUUCAAAGUCUUGGGGAGAGCCCAGCCAUAAAGAACCUGAGCUACCAGAGGAGGAGGACCACUCACUCCUAAGGUCUCGGUCAUCACAAGAGGAGACUUGCCAGGCAAAAAAUGAAGUCAGAAAAAAAAAAUUCCCUGAGGAUGGAAGAUUUGAAAAGGCACCAAAGAGUAAUUUUGCCUUCUGCUGAAAUACCUGCAACGUCAAGGUAAUUUAUAGGUAUUGCAGCAAAAGUAUGCUAAAAUGCCUAUGACAGAGAACUACACUUCUUGGGAAACAAACUCACAGCUUCAGUACCAAGCAGCAGCAGCAGCCUGUGCCCAUGCUGUAUUCCACAAUCUGUAAUUUCAGCUACAUAUCUAUUUAUUCCAAUGCCGCAGCAUUCCAUUUCUGAAUGAGUUCCCACAUCAUGGUGACACAUGCCUAGCAUUAUUGCAUUUUAGACAGCCAUCUGUACUGAUAUAUUCAGCC